RNAcentral lists this ribosomal RNA (847 nucleotides) under uncultured bacterium. Its description in RNAcentral is "bacterial SSU rRNA". It matches the Rfam family "Bacterial small subunit ribosomal RNA", at positions 52 to 955 of the family's 1533-position model. The record is from RNAcentral.
CACAUGCAGUCGACGACCUUCGGGUUAGUGGCGGACGGGUGAGUAACGCGUGAGAAUCUGCCCUCAGGAGGGGGAUAACAGUUGGAAACGACUGCUAAUACCCCAUAUGCCGAGAGGUGAAACGAAUUUUGCCUGGGGAUGAGCUCGCGUCUGAUUAGCUUGUUGGUGGGGUAAAAGCCUACCAAGGCUUCGAUCAGUAGCUGGUCUGAGAGGACGAUCAGCCACACUGGGACUGAGAUACGGCCCAGACUCCUACGGGAGGCAGCAGUGGGGAAUUUUCCGCAAUGGGCGCAAGCCUGACGGAGCAACGCCGCGUGAGGGAUGAAGGCCUUUGGGCUGUAAACCUCUUUUCUCAAGGAAGAAGAUCUGACGGUACUUGAGGAAUAAGCCACGGCUAAUUCCGUGCCAGCAGCCGCGGUAAUACGGGAGUGGCAAGCGUUAUCCGGAAUUAUUGGGCGUAAAGCGUCCGCAGGCGGCCGUUUAAGUCUGUUGUUAAAUCGUGGAGCUCAACUCCAUCACGGCAAUGGAAACUGUUCGGCUUGAGUAUGGUAGGGGCAGAGGGAAUUUCCGGUGUAGCGGUGAAAUGCGUAGAUAUCGGGAAGAACACCAGUGGCAAAAGCGCUCUGCUGGGCCAUUACUGACGCUCAUGGACGAAAGCCAGGGGAGCGAAAGGGAUUAGAUACCCCUGUAGUCCUGGCCGUAAACGAUGAACACUAGAUGUUGGGGGAAUCGACCCCUCCGGUGUCGUAGCUAACGCGUUAAGUGUCCGCCUGGGGAGUACGCACGCAGUGUGAAACUCAAGAAUUGACGGGGCCCGCACAAGCGGUGAGUAUGUGGUUAAUUCGAU